Molecule: ribosomal RNA, 785 nt
Filed under: uncultured bacterium
Lineage: Bacteria
Description: bacterial SSU rRNA
Rfam family: Bacterial small subunit ribosomal RNA
Source: RNAcentral
UUGAGCGGAGAUAUAUGGAGCUUGCUUUAUAUAACUUAGCAGCGAACGGGUGAGUAACACGUAGAUAAUCUAUCCUAUACUGGGGGAUAGCCCGAUGAAAGUUGGAUUAAUACCGCAUAUAGCUAUAUAGUUGCAUGAUUAUGUAGUGAAAGAUUUAUUGGUAUAGGAGGAGUCUGCGGCACAUUAGCUAGUAGGUGAGGUAAAGGCUUACCUAGGCGACGAUGUGUAGCCGGUCUGAGAGGAUGAACGGCCACAAUGGAACUGAGACACGGUCCAUACUCCUACGGGAGGCAGCAGUGGGGAAUAUUGCACAAUGGGGGAAACCCUGAUGCAGCAACGCCGCGUGAGUGAAGAAGGUUUUCGGAUUGUAAAGCUCUGUUAGCAGGGAAGAGGAAGGACGGUACCUGCAGAGGAAGCCACGGCUAACUACGUGCCAGCAGCCGCGGUAGUACGUAGGUGGCAAGCGUUGUUCGGAAUAACUGGGCGUAAAGGAUGCGUAGGCGGUUAAACAAGUUAUAUGUUAAAUAUAUAGGCUUAACCUGUAGAAAGCAUAUAAAACUGUUUAACUAGAGUGCAGGAGAGGUAAGUGGAAUUCCUAGUGUAGCGGUGAAAUGCGUAGAGAUUAGGAAGAACACCAGUGGCGAAGGCGACUUACUGGACUGUAACUGACGCUGAGGCAUGAGAGCAUGGGGAGCAAACAGGAUUAGAUACCCUGGUAGUCCAUGCUGUAAACGAUGGGUACUAGGUGUGGGUUGUGAAUAACAAUUCGUGCCGUCGCAAACGCA